Molecule: long non-coding RNA, 614 nt
Filed under: Homo sapiens (human)
Lineage: Eukaryota; Metazoa; Chordata; Mammalia; Primates; Hominidae
Description: HSALNT0311045
Source: RNAcentral
CCUCCCACCAGCUUCAUUCCUCCAAACUCCCAAACCAGCAGCACUGUCUCCUAAGAUACAACAGGACAGGCUUUGAGGACAGAAACCCAGGGUCACGUUCCUGCUCCAUCACUUUCCAUCAGCAUGGUCUCGGGCAAGGGAAUCGUAAGCAGGUAACUGAUCAUCUGGAAACCUGGGGGACAAGAGGGAAGAAAUGACACCUAGGAUGCUCCAUCCUUUCCCUGCAUCCCUUUGUGUUCAGUUCAACAACUUGGUUCUCCUCCUGACCAGCCACUGUGCUUGGCUGAGGACACAAAGGUGAAGGAGACAGUCUAGUAUAAAACAUGACACAGACCAGACCCAAAGGGGAGGAAGAGGUCCUGUAGAAAGGUGAAGGGGCAUCAUUCACCAAGCCUCUCCAGCAUUAACCAGAGACUGCUGGAGGGCAGCGUGAGCCUACGGAAAAGACUCGACAUCCAGGGUUUGGACUUAAAGGCCCUAGUGUGGACUUCUUCAGUGCUCUGAUUCCUUGAAGAUUCUGUUGGCUUGUUCUCAAAACGUAAGCAACUUUCCAGUGCCAACAUAUUGAAUUCCUUGCCCACGGGGCAUUUCUCAUCAUCAUGGGUUGCAAUGUG